Molecule: long non-coding RNA, 856 nt
Organism: Fukomys damarensis (Damara mole-rat)
Lineage: Eukaryota; Metazoa; Chordata; Mammalia; Rodentia; Bathyergidae
Exons: 4
Source: RefSeq, a predicted model, not a curated record
GGCCACUGUGCGAAGCAUCCCCGUCCCUGGCAGAGGCCACCGAGACCGGCGGGGAGGUAGGGAACUGGGCUCCGCCGAGGGCCGGGGCUUGGUUCCCCUGGAGACCGGACAAAGGCGAUGCUUUGGGUUUCGGUGAGUGGAUGAACACAUGAAUACAGAGGACAAAGUCUGCCCUGGCUUCACCUUCUGAUGCUGAUGAAUUGGAGAAGAAAAAAGCUUGACUGACUCCAAGGUCUGUGAGGGCAAAGAGCAUCUUGACAUGCAUUUCCAACAUCUUAUGCACAAUCUGGCUCAUUUAUACCCUCAACUGAGAGAAAAAUACCUAGAAGGACUUAAAGACAUGCCUUCUCACGCUGGAUUGAUGUAUUGACUACAGUAUUUCAAGCUGAAAUCACUUGAGGAGUUGUAACUUCAGAAAGGGCUAUUUGCUCCGUCUUUCCCUCCAAGAAGCAAACCACAAAGACUCUUUUGGGACAGAUGUGCUUCACGUAUCCACACUGGACAAUAACCUUGCUCACCAUACAGUGGUCAUCAGACAGCGAUUAACUUGGGUAAACAAACUCUGAGGUGACCUUCCAACAGUUUCUACCUCUCUUCCUCAUGUCUGUCUUCUGGUAGCAUCCCUAGAGUUUACCACCCUGGUCUGGAUACCCAUUUGUGCUGUUAUUCCUUCAGGUCUUAGGUUUUUGGGUUCCUAGAUCCAGCCAGACAGCCACACGAGAAUGGGGAGGGGUGGCAGAGAGAAUCUCUUUCCUAUAACUCACAAUUAACUGUCAUUUACAAAAUUAAAUACAACACUCUCACAUUUUUAAAUUGAAGUUUCCUAACAACAUUUCGAGAGAAUGUUUAAUGGUGA